Molecule: non-coding RNA, 92 nt
Organism: Testicularia cyperi
Lineage: Eukaryota; Fungi; Basidiomycota; Ustilaginomycetes; Ustilaginales; Anthracoideaceae
Source: the annotation of a GenBank genome assembly
GGCCGGUUGGCCCAAUGGUAAGGCGUCUGACUACGAUUGGUUCUUAGCAACUAGUAAUCAGGAGAUUCUGGGUUCGAGCCCCAGGCUGGUCA